GUCUGCCCCAUCGGCCGCAAGGUCCGGGGUGAUGGUGAAACGGCGGGGUAAAAGCCCACCGCAGGUCUGGCAACAGAACUGGCACGGCAAGCCCCACCCGGAGCAAUGCCGAAUAGGGGCCUCGCGUGGGCUGGUCCGCUUUGCGGAUACCGCCACAGGGACGCAUCAGCCCAGAGGCCCGGGUUGGCAGCUAGAUCCCGUCGGCAACGGCGGGGGCAGAGGAAUGGCCAUCGAAGGGGUGAAAGCCCUGGAACAAAAUCCGGCUUACAGGCCAUCCGCGCAA
RNAcentral lists this RNase P RNA (283 nucleotides) under Pseudorhodobacter sp. Its description in RNAcentral is "partial RNase P RNA component class A". It matches the Rfam family "Bacterial RNase P class A", at positions 124 to 367 of the family's 367-position model. Rfam says of the family: Ribonuclease P (RNase P) is a ubiquitous endoribonuclease, found in archaea, bacteria and eukarya as well as chloroplasts and mitochondria. Its best characterised activity is the generation of mature 5'-ends of tRNAs by cleaving the 5'-leader elements of precursor-tRNAs. The record is from RNAcentral. Lineage: Bacteria; Pseudomonadati; Pseudomonadota; Alphaproteobacteria; Rhodobacterales; Paracoccaceae.